AGUAGCGUCAUCGUUGAAACUGAAUAUAGGGGACGAUUCUGCGCUGCAACACCGCAAAUGUUGCGAUGCAGCUAAUCGUACAGCGCAUAUCUAGAGUAAGGAGUGAUUAAUCUUUCAGCUAAGAUUGUUCAGACUUAAUCGGCCUGUCUUCAUGCAGAAGCCAAUUUUAGCUCUGUAUUUCAUUGAGUUGACGCAAAGGAGACAUAAAUUCUGGUCCGCCCGGCACGACGGUAUUGGAAUAAGUAGCUACGCUAAGCCAUGUGCUGGAUAA
RNAcentral lists this unclassified non-coding RNA (271 nucleotides) under Hevea brasiliensis (rubber tree). The record is from RNAcentral. Lineage: Eukaryota; Viridiplantae; Streptophyta; Magnoliopsida; Malpighiales; Euphorbiaceae.